RNAcentral lists this ribosomal RNA (506 nucleotides) under uncultured bacterium. Its description in RNAcentral is "partial 16S ribosomal RNA". It matches the Rfam family "Bacterial small subunit ribosomal RNA", at positions 29 to 523 of the family's 1533-position model. The record is from RNAcentral.
AGUGAACGCUGGCGGUAGGCCUAACACAUGCAAGUCGAACGGCAGCACAGGAGAGCUUGCUCUCUGGGUGGCGAGUGGCGGACGGGUGAGGAAUACAUCGGAAUCUACUCUGUCGUGGGGGAUAACGUAGGGAAACUUACGCUAAUACCGCAUACGACCUACGGGUGAAAGCAGGGGACCUUCGGGCCUCGCGCGAUUGAAUGAGCCGAUGUCGGAUUAGCUAGUUGGCGGGGUAAAGGCCCACCAAGGCGACGAUCCGUAGCUGGUCUGAGAGGAUGAUCAGCCACACUGGAACUAAGACACGGUCCAGACUCCUGCGGGAGGCAGCAGUGGGGAAUAUUGGACAAUGGGCGCAAGCCUGAUCCAGCCAUACCGCGUGGGUGAAGAAGGCCUUCGGGUUGUAAAGCCCUUUUGUUGGGAAAGAAAUCCAGCUGGCUAAUACCCGGUUGGGAUGACGGUACCCAAAGAAUAAGCACCGGCUAACUUCGUGCCAGCCGCCGCGGUAA